GACGAACGCUGGCGGCGUGCUUAACACAUGCAAGUCGAACGGUGAAGCGCCUUCCUUUUUGGUGGGUGUGGAUGAGUGGCGAACGGGUGAGUAACACGUGAGUAACCUGCCCCCUUCUUCUGGAUAACCGCAUGAAAGUGUGGCUAAUACGGGAUAUUCUGGGUCUGUCGCAUGAUGGGUCUGGGAAAGAUAUUGUUUCGGUGGGGGAUGGGCUCGCGGCCUAUCAGCUUGUUGGUGGGGUGAUGGCCUACCAAGGCGGUGACGGGUAGCCGGCCUGAGAGGGUGGCCGGUCAGACUGGGACUGGGACCCGGCCGGGACUCCUACGGGAGGCAGCAGUGGGGAAUAGUGCACAAUGGGCGAAAGCGUGAUGCAGCGACGCCGCGGGAGGGAUGGAGGCCUUCGGGUUGUGAACCUCUUUCGCCAGUGAAGCAGGCCUGCCUCGUUUGUGGGUGGGUUGACGGUAGCUGGAUAAGAAGCGCCGGCUAACUACGUG
This 494-nucleotide ribosomal RNA is filed under the name uncultured bacterium. RNAcentral describes it as "partial 16S ribosomal RNA". It matches the Rfam family "Bacterial small subunit ribosomal RNA", at positions 28 to 507 of the family's 1533-position model. The record is from RNAcentral.